This 253-nucleotide ribosomal RNA is filed under the name uncultured bacterium. RNAcentral describes it as "partial 16S ribosomal RNA". It matches the Rfam family "Bacterial small subunit ribosomal RNA", at positions 524 to 776 of the family's 1533-position model. The record is from RNAcentral.
UACGGGGGAUGCAAGCGUUAUCCGGAUUUAUUGGGUUUAAAGGGUGCGCAGGCUGAUCGGUAAGUCAUGGGUGAACAGUCACUGCUUAACAGUGAUCGUGCCUAUGAUACUGCCGGACUGGAGUUUAAGAGGUGUAACUGGAAUGUGAUGUGUAGCGGUGAAAUGCUUAGAUAUGUCACAGAACGCCAAUCGUGAAGACAGGUUACAAACUUAAUACUGACGCUCAUGCACGAAAGCGUGGGGAUCAAACAGG